AUUGAACGCUGGCGGCAUGCCUAAUACAUGCAAGUCGAACGAGUGCCUUCGGGUGCGAGUGGCGCACGGGUGCGUAACGCGUGGGAAUCUGCCCUGGGGUACGGAAUAACUCAGAGAAAUUUGAGCUAAUACCGUAUGAUAUCGCGAGAUCAAAGAUUUAUCGCCCUGGGAUGAGCCCGCGUUGGAUUAGCUAGUUGGUGGGGUAAAGGCCUACCAAGGCGACGAUCCAUAGCUGGUCUGAGAGGAUGAUCAGCCACACUGGGACUGAGACACGGCCCAGACUCCUACGGGAGGCAGCAGUAGGGAAUAUUGGACAAUGGGCGAAAGCCUGAUCCAGCAAUGCCGCGUGAGUGAUGAAGGCCUUAGGGUUGUAAAGCUCUUUUACCCGGGAUGAUAAUGACAGUACCGGGAGAAUAAGCCCCGGCUAACUCCGUGCCAGCAGCCGCCGUAA
This 451-nucleotide ribosomal RNA is filed under the name uncultured bacterium. RNAcentral describes it as "partial 16S ribosomal RNA". It matches the Rfam family "Bacterial small subunit ribosomal RNA", at positions 30 to 523 of the family's 1533-position model. The record is from RNAcentral.